RNAcentral lists this long non-coding RNA (216 nucleotides) under Carica papaya (papaya). RNAcentral's name for it is "long non-coding RNA (CPAP_LNC001743)". The record is from RNAcentral. Lineage: Eukaryota; Viridiplantae; Streptophyta; Magnoliopsida; Brassicales; Caricaceae.
UUUGAGCUCCCACCAACGUCCUGCUUCCCCUACCAGUAUGUAGGAAGUAAGGGCGGCUCUCUGCUCAGAAACUACUCCCAAGGUCUUGAAAGCUCUCUCAGUUUCCGCCAGCUAGUACUGGGCCUCUUCAAAGGAGGAUCCCCCUGCAAAUGUAGAGGGGUUCAGUCUCUUGUACCUCUCUAUGUAGCCCGGGUCGAUCAAGGAAGGAGGUCCCGU